RNAcentral lists this ribosomal RNA (392 nucleotides) under uncultured bacterium. Its description in RNAcentral is "bacterial SSU rRNA". It matches the Rfam family "Bacterial small subunit ribosomal RNA", at positions 29 to 420 of the family's 1533-position model. The record is from RNAcentral.
AUUGAACGCUGGCGGUAUGCCUUACACAUGCAAGUCGAACGGCAGCACGGGGGCAACCCUGGUGGCGAGUGGCGAACGGGUGAGUAAUGCAUCGGAACGUGCCCAGUAGUGGGGGAUAACUAGUCGAAAGAUUAGCUAAUACCGCAUACGACCUACGGGUGAAAGCGGGGAUUCGCAAGAACCUCGCGCUAUCGGAGCGGCCGAUGUCUGAUUAGCUAGUUGGCGGGGUAAAAGCCCACCAAGGCUUCGAUCAGUAGCUGGUCUGAGAGGACGACCAGCCACACUGGGACUGAGACACGGCCCAGACUCCUACGGGAGGCAGCAGUGGGGAAUUUUGGACAAAUGGGCGCAAGCCUGAUCCANCCAUGCCGCGUGCGGGAAGAAGGCCUCGG